This is a long non-coding RNA of Ictalurus punctatus (channel catfish), 1863 nucleotides long. The record is from Ensembl. NCBI's taxonomy places the organism in Eukaryota, Metazoa, Chordata, Actinopteri, Siluriformes, Ictaluridae.
GGAUGAUUGGCAAAGCAAUACUUCUCUCUUAUCUUUAUUUACAACAUCUGUAGUGUGUGUGUGUGUGUGUGUGUGUGUGUGUGUGUGUGUGUGUGAUUACCACAGACAGGAAUUUCAACACGUUUCUCUGAACCUGUUCACUCCGGACUCACUGAAGCCGGUUGUAUACCGUGUGCGAUUUCAGCAUUAUGUAAAGUUUAUUUCUUGUCCAGAAGAUUCCUAAUAAAAUCUGAUCCGAAUCGGAUAUCAGACUGUAACGCGUUCUCCGUGUCGGAUCAUACGACGCGACGAUCCUUUACGACGCGGUUACACCAGGUUAGAUUUACAUCGUUCAUCGGCGUGGUCCAGAAAACAGGAAACACUCUUCAAAGUGAGCUCGAGGAAAUAAAGAUAUUUAUUCCGUCCAUUCUCACGUCUCGUCACGUUUUGUCAUCGUCGCUGCCGUAUCUGUAGCCGCCGCACGACACGGCCGUCCUCCUGCUGCUGGAUCUUUAGACGAGAGUCAGAGCGGUGCUCACACUCUGAGGCUUACAUGAAAGGAUCUCUCUCUCAGAACUUUGUCCGGAAGCAGAAAAUCCACCAGAGUACCUGCUUAACAUAACUGCGUAGAGAAGAGGAGAAGGAUCACGACAAGAAGGAGGGGAGGAUUAGGAAAAUGAAAGGAGAAUAUGGAAAGAAGGGGGGGGAAGGUAGGAAUAACAAAAGGAAAGAAGGAAGGAUGUAAGGAUUAAGAAAAUGAAAGAAGGAGAAUAUGAAAAGGAAGGAAGAAAUACGAAAAUGGAAGAAGGAUUCAGUAGAGGAAGGAAGGAGGGAUUGAGAAAAUGAAAGAAGGAGAAUAUGGAAUGGGAGGAAGGAAGGAAUAAGGAAGUGGAAUAAGGAAUAUGGAAAGGAGGGAAGGAAGAAAGGACAGAAGGACAGAAGGAAGGAUUAAGAAAACGGAUGAAGGAAUAUAGCAAGGAUGGAAGGAAGAAAUGACAGAAGGAAGGAAGGAAUGGAUAAGAAAAUGAAAGAAGGAAUAUGGGAAGGAAGAAAAGAAUAAGAACACGAAUGAAGGACAGAAGAUUUAAAGAAGUAUGCACAGCGAUGGAUAUAACACUGUGUAUCAUUUUGUUUGAUGUAAUUGAUUAAUUUGAAUAAAUCGGCACCAGACUCCAGGUGAUUCUCCAGGUGAUUCUCCAGGUGAAUCUCCAGAUGAUUCUCUAGGUGAUUCUCCGGGUGAUUCUCCAGGUGAUUCUCCAGGUGAUUCUCCAGGUGAUUCUCUAGGUGAUUCUCCAGGUGAUUCUCUAUGUGAUUCUCCGGUUGAUUCUCCGGGUGAUUCUCCGGGUGAUUCGUCAGGUGAUUCUCCAGGUGAUUCUCCAGGUGAUUCGUCAGGUGAUUCUCCGGGUGAUUCUCCAGAUGAUUCUCCAGGUGAUUCUCCAGGUGAUUCUCCGGGUGAUUCAUCAGGUCAUUCUCCAGGUGAUUCUCCAGGUGAUUCUCCAAGUGAUUCGUCAGGUGAUUCUCCAGGUGAUUUGUCAGGUGAUUCUCCAGGUGAUUCGUCAGGUGAUUCUCCAGGUGAUUCUCCAGGUGAUUCUCUAGGUGAUUCUCUAGGUGAUUCUCUAGGUGAUUCUCCGGGUGAUUCUCCAGGUGAUUCUCCAGGUGAUUCUCUAGGUGAUUCUCCAGGUGAUUCUCCAGGUGAUUCUCUAUGUGAUUCUCCGGUUGAUUCUCCGGGUGAUUCUCCAGGUGAUUCGUCAGGUGAUUCUCCAGGUGAUUCUCCAUGUGAUUCUCUAGGUGAUUCUCUAGGUGAUUCUCCGGGUGAUUCUCUAGGUGAUUCUCCGGGUGAUUCAUCAAGUGAUUCUCCAGGUGAUUCUCCAGGUGAUUCUCCAG